Molecule: transfer RNA, 62 nt
Filed under: Actinomycetota bacterium
Lineage: Bacteria; Bacillati; Actinomycetota
Description: Actinobacteria bacterium (groundwater metagenome) tRNA-Ser
Rfam family: tRNA
About the family: Transfer RNA (tRNA) molecules are approximately 80 nucleotides in length. Their secondary structure includes four short double-helical elements and three loops (D, anti-codon, and T loops).
Source: RNAcentral
GCGGAUGUAGCUCAGUUGGUAGAGCANNGGGGUCGCGAGUUCGAGUCUCGUCAUCCGCUCAA